This 131-nucleotide small RNA is filed under the name Marmota monax (woodchuck). The record is from RNAcentral. Lineage: Eukaryota; Metazoa; Chordata; Mammalia; Rodentia; Sciuridae.
GCUGGGCGCAGUGGCGUAUGCCUGUAAUCCCACCUGCUCAGGAGGCUGAGACAGGAAGAUCAUGAGUUCAGAGCCAGCUUCACUCACCAUCUUAGCAAGGCCUUAAGCAACUCAGUGAGACUCUGUCUCUA